GAUGAACGCUAGCGGCAGGCCUAACACAUGCAAGUCGAGGGGGAAGUUACUUUCGGGUGACUGAGACCGGCGUACGGGUGCGUAACGCGUAUACAAUCUGCCUUUCACUGGGGGAUAGCCCGAAGAAAUUUGGAUUAAUACCCCAUAGUAUAUAGGGACGGCAUCGUUUUUAUAUUAAAGCUUAGGUGGUGAAAGAUGAGUAUGCGUUCUAUUAGCUAGUUGGAGAGGUAACGGCUCCCCAAGGCGAUGAUAGAUAGGGGUUCUGAGAGGGAUGUCCCCCACACUGGUACUGAGAUACGGACCAGACGCCUACGGGAGGCAGCAGUGAGGAAUAUUGGACAAUGGUCGGAAGACUGAUCCAGCCAUGCCGCGUGCAGGAUGAAGGUCUUAUGGAUUGUAAACUGCUUUUGGAAGGGAAGAAUAAGGGCUACGCGUAGUUUGAUGACGGUACCUGACGAAUAAGCAUCGGCUAACUCCGUG
This 480-nucleotide ribosomal RNA is filed under the name uncultured bacterium. RNAcentral describes it as "partial 16S ribosomal RNA". It matches the Rfam family "Bacterial small subunit ribosomal RNA", at positions 28 to 507 of the family's 1533-position model. The record is from RNAcentral.